Molecule: small RNA, 240 nt
Filed under: Pongo abelii (Sumatran orangutan)
Lineage: Eukaryota; Metazoa; Chordata; Mammalia; Primates; Hominidae
Description: retained intron
Source: RNAcentral
ACAGUGGUGUUUUGAACCAGCCUUUGCCCUGUCCUGUGUCCCUCUAGGCCUUCGAUGUGGUGGAGAGGAGCUUCCUGGAGUCCAUUGACGAUGCCUUGGCUGAGAAGGCAAGCCUCCAGUCGCAAUUGCCAGAGGGAGUCCCUCAGCACCAGCUGCCUCCUCAGUAUCAGAAGAUCUUUGAGAGACUCAAGACAUUGGAGAGGGAAAUUUCGGGAGGGGCCAUGGCUGUUGUGGCGGUCC